ACGGGAGGCAGCAGUGGGGAAUAUUGGGCAAUGGACGCAAGUCUGACCCAGCAACGCCGCGUGAAGGAAGAAGGCUUUCGGGUUGUAAACUUCUUUUACAGGGGAAGAGUAGAAGACGGUACCCUGAAAACAAGCUACGGCUAACUACGUGCCAGCAGCCGCGGUAAUACGUAGGUGGCAAGCGUUAUCCGGAUUUACUGGGUGUAAAGGGCGUGCAGCCGGGUCUGCAAGUCAGAUGUGAAAUCUAGGGGCUCAACCCCUAGACUGCAUUUGAAACUGUAGAUCUUGAGUAUCGGAGAGGUAAUCGGAAUUCCUUGUGUAGCGGUGAAAUGCGUAGAUAUAAGGAAGAACACCAGUGGCGAGGGCGGCUUACUGGACGAAAACUGACGGUGAGGCGCGAAAGCGUGGGGAGCAAACAGGAUUAGAUACCCUGGUA
Molecule: ribosomal RNA, 436 nt
Filed under: uncultured Oscillibacter sp.
Lineage: Bacteria; Bacillati; Bacillota; Clostridia; Eubacteriales; Oscillospiraceae
Description: bacterial SSU rRNA
Rfam family: Bacterial small subunit ribosomal RNA
Source: RNAcentral